Crenobacter luteus is the source of this 28-nucleotide non-coding RNA. The record is from Rfam. NCBI's taxonomy places the organism in Bacteria, Pseudomonadati, Pseudomonadota, Betaproteobacteria, Neisseriales, Neisseriaceae.
GUUCACUGCCAGACAGGCAGUUCAGAAA